GCGACCUCUACCACUUAAAAGGCGAACGACUGACUUCGUAACCACGACGAGAGUAGGGGUGGGGCCAAGCCGCAGCGCGUGCGGUGUGGCCUAGGUAUCGGUCAUCGGUCACGCUACUAUUGGGUAGUGGGUAGGGACGAGGCGGAGGCGCGUGGGGAGGGGCGGCCGGAGGCGGUGCCCUGAAGUGUGCGGAACGAAAAGUGGCGGCGGCGGAUGAGAGGAGGCGGCGGCGGGGAGGCGGACGAUGGAGACGCGCAGCGGCGACCUCCUCGGAGUGGCCAUCCAGGACUACCGCCGUUAGCGCGCUGCGGAGGGGGCGACCCUCGGCGCCGCGACCUGAAGCGCGCCUCGUUGAAGGAGGGCGAUCGAGAUUAACCACCCUACUGAAACCCUGAGGACCUAGGUUGAGAACCAACGGAACGAGUGUUUAUAAGGGACAGUUUUAUAUCGUGAAAACCCUAUAAGCAAUAUAGUCCCGACUGAGACGCGUGAUUCCUCGAACCGCGUCGCAAUGUUCGAACCGGACGACCUGAGAAACCUGAUCCGAGUUAAGACAACAAGUGUGGAAAAGAACGUGUUAAAGAACACGUUUAAGUCAAGAAGGGAGCACUUAAAUAGUGACCCAACCGAUACAAAACAACGUACGGCUGUUGUAAUAGUUCACCUCAGUGUGAUUGUGUCGAACGACCGCCGUUGAGGCGUGAACGAGAACGUUACUGUCAGUAUAGGUUAGAUGACCCGUAAUACAAACAUGGAAACAGAGAACGUUUUAUGUAACCGUGACCUCGUCCUCACAGAAACGGAUGAUUCCUUAAUAAGUCUUCAGACCAAUUGUGAGAAAAUUAGGGGGAAUAAAAUCCGUUCCAACGGGCUCUUUGGAGUUUUCCAUAACGACUUAAACAACUACCUUUAGCGGUCCCGAAAAGUCAAAAUUCACGACAAGAAGAGUCGGAUCAGGGUACCUAUGUUCAUUCAUCUAGUUCUAGAGACGAUAACAGGCAAUUUGGUUUUCGAAAGCGAUAAUAACACUGAUAACCUCACGAAGAUGUAGAACGAGACGACCGUAAGUUACGAUGUUGUGACGUCCAGAACAGUACAGAAUUUGUCUUCCUUCUCAGUCAGAAACGCUCUUUUCUCAUACGUGCUCGACAGUAAAACCACCGGUCAGUCUUUUGUAACGGUCACGACCAACGACACCAACUCGUCGAACCUCCACGAGAACCCCUCAGGCCUGAAGACCAGUAGGGUACACAACGACGCGUGUAAUUAGUCUAGUAAUAGCUAAGAUAGGAUCAUUUAACCACCGCGUUUUCUCUAGUUGCUAGAUGAUUACGUUUUAUCGAAGUCUUAAACUUAAACUAGAUUCACGUUUCUAGAUGGGCUCGCUCCGAACUGUUUAGGUACCACUUUAUCCAAUUAACCUGAACCAUCUGGCGAACCACGUGCUGUUCCGGUCCCAGGAAUACUAGGAUCUUGGUAAAUCAAGCUUCAGAUGUAGUUACACCUCAUCCUAUUGCGGUUGGUAGGUUUGGUACUUGUAGCAGCGCGGGGAAUAUGUACCAAUCUCGACCCCGUAGCACCUCUAACCUUCCGGAAACGAGACUGGGAGGUAACCUACGGGUGUUUAAAGGAUGCGGCUUCUAAAACCCGAGGUGCCAUGAGCGUGAUACGGCUGUUCUCAUUGUACUAAUCGUCUAACUACAUUCACCAGACUUACAAUCGGCGCUUUGUUUGAACCGCUCAGCGAUCGUUCCGAUUGACCUUAUAUCCCUUCUACGUCCAUGUGAUCAAAGAAGCAUGGUCACAUUAUACCGCUUUAUAUGUUCAAACAUAAUGUUCAAUGAGGGAGACAGAGUUUUACAUUUUGAAGAAAACUGUGAUUUUA
This 1885-nucleotide ribosomal RNA is filed under the name Triticum aestivum (bread wheat). RNAcentral describes it as "partial small subunit ribosomal RNA". The record is from RNAcentral. Lineage: Eukaryota; Viridiplantae; Streptophyta; Magnoliopsida; Poales; Poaceae.